UACGUAGGUGGCAAGCGUUAUCCGGAAUUAUUGGGCGUAAAGCGCGCGUAGGCGGCAAGAUUAGUCUGAUGUGAAAGCCCCCGGCUCAACCGGGGAGGGUCAUUGGAAACUGUCUUGCUUGAGUGCAGAAGAGGAGAGUGGAAUUCCAUGUGUAGCGGUGAAAUGCGCAGAGAUAUGGAGGAACACCAGUGGCGAAGGCGGCUCUCUGGUCUGCAACUGACGCUGAUGUGCGAAAGCGUGGGGAUCAAACAGG
RNAcentral lists this ribosomal RNA (253 nucleotides) under uncultured bacterium. Its description in RNAcentral is "partial 16S ribosomal RNA". It matches the Rfam family "Bacterial small subunit ribosomal RNA", at positions 524 to 776 of the family's 1533-position model. The record is from RNAcentral.